CCACUCUGGCCCCCGCGGGAGACAUGUUAGGUAGUGGGAUGCCAACCUUGCCACUCUUCUGAGACCGCCACCCAGUAACACGCCCUGCUUUCCUCCGCCGCCGCCGUCUCCUCCAUCAACCGUCUCCUUCUAACAUGUUAUUGCAGUUAAUAAAAAAGCGCUCUUUUCUUCACAAAAGCAGUUGUUUCAUUGUAUAAUGUGAGAAGUCUGCGUUCAGGCGGUUAGACGCAAAGGAGUGGAAUAAGUGCCCUGUUCAGUCUGCCAACCUUCGGAACCAGCCAACAGACUCGGUACUGACUGCCAUGAUCCAGUAAGCACCCGACUCGGGUCUCUGGCAGCCUGAGUGGAUUUUGCGUGACUUUUGGUCCCUGGCGGCUCCUGUAGCGUCCCCAGUUACGGCGCCCAUAGCAACCGGCUCCCUAGCUAGGCGCCCCCGGGUUGCCAAGGGCCGCACCAGCUUUCCCGCCCCGGGCCAGCGCAGGCGCUCAGGCCUCGGAGGCGGGGCGAUGGCCACCUCCCACCGAGUGGCGAAGCUGGUGGCCUCCAGUCUCCAGACCCCGGUAAAUCCCAUCACUGGAGCGCGGGUCGCCCAGUACGAACGCGAAGACCCCUUAAAGGCCCUGGCGGCAGCGGAGGCGAUCUUGGAGGACGAAGAGGAGGAGAAAGUGGCGCAGCCCGCUGGGGCAUCGGCUGAUUUGAACACCAGCUUUUCUGGGGUAGAUGAACAUGCACCUAUAAGCUAUGAGGACUUUGUGAAAUUUCCUGAUAUUCACCACUCUAAUGAGGAGUAUUUCAAGAAAGUAGAAGAGUUGAAGGCUGCCCACAUAGAAACUAUGGCAAAAUUAGAGAAAAUGUACCAGGAUAAAUUACAUUUAAAGGAAGUUCAGCCAGUGGUCAUCAGAGAAGACUCUCUUAGUGACUCUUCCAGAUCUGUAUCAGAAAAGAACUCCUAUCACCCUGUCUCAUUAAUGACAUCAUUUUCAGAGCCUGAUUUAGGCCAGUCUUCCUCCUUGUAUGUGUCCUCCUCUGAAGAGGAGUUACCCAACCUAGAAAAAGAGUAUCCUAGGAAAAACAGAAUGGUGACCUAUGCUAAGGAGCUCAUCAACAACAUGUGGACAGACUUUUGUGUUGAGGAUUAUAUUCGCUGUAAAGAUACUGGCUUCCAUGCAGCUGAAAAAACAAGGAAGAAACGAAAAGAAUGGGUGCCCACAAUUACAGUACCGGAGCCUUUUCAAAUGAUGAUAAGAGAACAGAAGAAGAAAGAAGAGUCCAUGAAAUCUAAAUCAGAUAUCGAAAUGGUACAUAAACUGCUCAAAAAACAAGAAGAGGAUCCAGAGUGUAAGAAGAAAUUCCGAGCCAAUCCAGUUCCUGCAUCUGUCUUUCUCCCCCUUUACCAUGAUUUAGUCAAACAAAAAGAAGAACGGAGAAGGUCUCUGAAGGAGAAAAACAAAGAAGCUCUUUUGGCCUCACAAAAGCCAUUUAAAUUUAUAGCAAGGGAGGAACAGAAGCGAGCAGCCCGGGAAAAGCAGCUGAGAGACUUUCUUAAGUAUAAAAAGAAAACAAAUCGAUUUAAAGCCAGACCCAUUCCUCGAUCUACUUAUGGUUCAACUACCAAUGACAAGUUAAAAGAAGAAGAGCUCUAUCGAAACCUUAGGACACAGCUGAGAGCCCAGGAGCAUUUACAGAACUCAUCUCCUCUGCCUUGUAGGUCAGCUUGCGGAUGCAGGAACCCCAGGUGUCCUGAACAGGCUGUAAAGUUGAAGUGUAAACACAAGGUUAGGUGCCCAGCUCCUGAUUUUGAGGACCUUCCUGAGAGAUACCAGAAACACCUCUCAGAACACAAGUCUCCAAAACUCUUAACAGUGUGUAAACCAUUUGAUCUUCAUGCAUCUCCACAUGCAUCUAUUAAAAGAGAAAAAAUUUUGGCAGACAUCGAAGCAGAUGAAGAAAAUUUAAAAGAAACACGUUGGCCUUAUUUGUCUCCAAGGCGUAAGUCACCAGUAAGAUGUGCAGGUGUAAACCCUGUGCCUUGUAACUGCAACCCUCCAGUGCCCACGGUAUCUUCCAGAGGACGAGAACAAGCCGUAAGGAGAUCACUUGAGGAAAAGAAAAUGUUGGAAGAAGAGAGAAAUCGGAUCCUAACUAAACAGAAGCAAAGAAUGAAAGAAUUGCAGAAACUCCUGACAACCCGGGCUAAGGCUUAUGACUCACAUCAAAGUUUAGCUCAAAUAUCUAAAUCCAGAGUAAAAUGUCUCAGAAAGAGCGAAAAGGAAAGGAUGAGAGAAUACCAACGAGAACUAGAAGAAAGAGAAGAAAAAUUAAAAAAGAGGCCACUGCUAUUUGAAAGAGUUGCUCAGAAUAAACUAUGUUGUCCUGUUUCUUGGAAAUCACAGGAUUAAUUAACUGAGAAGAUGUUAAAUUGAAUUUUAAACCAAAGUCAGAUGAAGGUUUACUGGCACAAAUUUUGACUAAUGUCUUUUUAAUGUCUUAUAUAUUUAAUUUGCUGAAGUCAGAAUAUACUGUUGGUAAUGCAUUCAGAGAAAAAUGCAAGAAUGGCAGCAGAAAAGCAUUAUUCUAAUACCCUAAAAGCACUAGGAAUAUCUGAUGAGUUUGUUUCAAAGAAAGGCCAAAGUGGAAAAGUACUUGAGUACUUCAACAAUCAAGAGACGAAAAGUGUCACUGAAGACAAAGAAAGCUGUAAUGAAGAAGAAAAAAUAGAAGAAAGAGAGAAUGGGGAAGAAAAUUAUUUUAUUGAUACCAACAGCCAGGAUUCUUACAAGGAAAAAGAUGAAGCCAAUGAGGAAAGUGAAGAAGAGAAAUCUGUUGAAGAAUCACACUGAAUCAUCAAGGUCUCCUCUCUAUGCCCUUGCUGUUGUUUGCAGCGUCAGGGUGUCAGCAGCCGCAUUUGUGUUUAGAACAUCUGUGGGGACGCCUCUGAUAUGUGCAGGGCUGUUGAUCAAAGUCAUCUGUAGCCUGAAAAGCCUGAAUCCAGCUGAUUGGUCAUUUGAUCAGUUAGAGUAAGGCUUUGCCUAUUCAGUUUUAAAAAUCAUUGUGUAUUAUCUGUUUGCAACUAUGAUUUUGUAUUUUUAAAAAGUGAGAACCACAGCUGUCACAAACUGAUUAGUUAUAAAAAUAUACAUUAUUUCAUUAAUUUUACUGGAAAAAAUGGCUUAGUGUUGAAAGGAGAGAGAAGUAUUGGUCUUUGGUGAUUUACUUUUUAAAAAUUUUGGAAAGUGUGAAUCAAUAACUAUUUUUAAUUAUACUAUUUGCCCAUUCUUUUUCUCUGCAGUGCAUUUCACAGAAUAAAUCCUCUAACUUGUUUUGCUGCUCUGAGCCAUUUUUAAAAGUCUAGAAAAAAGGCCAGGUAUGGUGGCUCAUGCCUGUAAUCCCAGCACUUUGGGAGGCCGAGGCGGGUGGAUCACGAGGUCAGGAGAUCGAGACAAUCCUGGCUAACACGAUGAAACCCCGUCUCUACUAAAAAUACAAAAAAUUAGCCAGGCGUGGUGGUGGGCGCCUGUAGUCCCAGCUACUUGGGAGGCAGAGGCAGGAGAAUGGCAUGAACCCAGGAGGCAGAGCUUGCAGUGAGCCGAGAUCGCGCCACUGCACUCCAGCCUGGGCAACAGAGCGAGACUCCGUCUCCAAAAAAAAAAAAAAAAAGUAUAGAAAAAAAUGAAUACUUGCAAAUUUACAUUUAUUUUUGCACUGAGAGUUUACUGUUAAAUUGUCUACACCAUCAUCCCUUUUUCUUUUUAUCCUUAGUUCCAGUCCAAAUUAUUUUUGAUAUGUAAAUUAUUAGGAAAGUUUUUAUACUAGUUUUUUUAACCCUAUGUAUUAUUACAGAUGGAAGUAAUUAUGGCAUGUGUGAGUUAUAAUCUAAAUUAGGGGCAAGUAUCCCUGUUUUUUAUAUGAUGAAAUUGUGCAUAAUAACUUGGCUAGGGCAAGUCUCCAAAGUAAUUCAGAUUUAAUUCUUCACUGCUAGACCCAGUUGUGUUCAACUUUUUACAUAUUAUUGCCAACACACUUUAUCUCUCUGUGUACAGUGUUAAUCUGAUUUUAUAAAUCUAUAUUUUUUUCUUUAAGCAAAUUUUUGUUUUAAAAUUCGAAGCCAAUCAUAAAGAUAAUAUAGCAUAAGACAUUUUCUUUUCUAAAAACAAUCAGCAUCAUUUUAAAAGGAUGAACUAAUACAGGUGUAUGUAAUAGCAGUGUUUCCAAACUGGCAAUUUAUGCUUUACAUUUAAAAAUAAGGUCAUUUUUCUCCAUCAGGGGCAAAUGUUUACUUGUAAUUUUCUUCCUACAGUUCGUGUUAAAUUACUUUUUACUAUUAUUAUAUUGUAAACUCCUUGGGAUUUGGCACCAUUUAAAAAUUCAUCUUUGUAUUCCCUUAAUAUUUGAAACAGUAUUGUACAUAUGGUAGGUACUUAAUAAAGGUUUGAAUGAGUGUGUAGA
This is an RNA transcript of Pan troglodytes (chimpanzee), 4446 nucleotides long. It is a transcript of the gene named FAM161 centrosomal protein A, with no coding region annotated. Lineage: Eukaryota; Metazoa; Chordata; Mammalia; Primates; Hominidae. The record is from RefSeq and is a predicted model, not a curated record. The transcript is spliced from 8 exons.